AUGCAGCUCUAAGUGGGUGGUAAAUUCCAUCUAAAGCUAAAUAUUGGCGAGAGACCGAUAGCGAACAAGUACAGUGAUGGAAAGAUGAAAAGAACUUUGAAAAGAGAGUGAAAAAGUACGUGAAAUUGUUGAAAGGGAAGGGCUUGAGAUCAGACUUGGUAUUUUGUAUGUUACUCUCUCGGGGGUGGCCUCUACAGUUUACCGGGCCAGCAUCAGUUUGAGCGGUAGGAUAAGUGCAAAGAAAUGUGGCACUGCUUCGGUAGUGUGUUAUAGUCUUUGUCGAUACUGCCAGCUUAGACUGAGGACUGCGGCUUCGGCCUAGGAUGUUGGCAUAAUGAUCUUAAGUCGCCCGUCUUGAAACACGGACCAAGGAGUCUAACGUCUAUGCGAGUGUUUGGGUGUAAAACCCGUACGCGUAAUGAAAGUGAACGUAGGUAGGACCUCCUUUAGGAGUGCACUAUCGACCGAUCCUGAUGUCUUCGGAUGGAUUUGAGUAAGAGCAUAGCUGUUGGGACCCGAAAGAUGGUGAACUAUGCCUGAAUAGGGUGAAGCCAGAGGAAACUCUGGUGGAGGCUCGUAGCGGUUCUGACGUGCAAAUCGAUCGUCGAAUUUGGGUAU
Molecule: ribosomal RNA, 618 nt
Filed under: Lodderomyces parapsilosis
Lineage: Eukaryota; Fungi; Ascomycota; Pichiomycetes; Serinales; Debaryomycetaceae
Description: Candida parapsilosis partial large subunit ribosomal RNA
Rfam family: Eukaryotic large subunit ribosomal RNA
Source: RNAcentral